Molecule: long non-coding RNA, 904 nt
Organism: Xiphophorus hellerii (green swordtail)
Lineage: Eukaryota; Metazoa; Chordata; Actinopteri; Cyprinodontiformes; Poeciliidae
Exons: 2
Source: RefSeq, a predicted model, not a curated record
ACUGCAGUCAUGGGCCACACAAAAUCAGUCCAGGUGCUCCAAAUGGCCCUCUGGCCGCACUUUGGACAUCCCUGGUUUGCAGUUUGUCAGCAGCACCGGGCGACUCAGGAAACGUGGGAAAAAUUAGGAAAUAUUCAAGGGAUAUGAAUGAUUUAUAAAGGUGAUGUAAACUACACCAAGCAGAUUUUAAUAUUUCUGUUUUUGCUUAGUUAUAAGAACCUGAAUAUAAAAAUUCACCUCUGCAGACGAGGCCCUAACCUCAAGAGUCAAUUGCUGAGUCUAAUGUGGAUUCUGAGUCAUCGCAUUAGAAAAGGUUGAGAUGUGGAAUAACUUCCUGAAUUUCGCUCACUUGACAUGGCUUUUGGCUUUUCCGAAAAAGAGUCAAUGUGCUAAAGAGGAGAUGGAGACACAUUUGCUGAAUAAGUUCUGACUUUUCCAUCCAUUGGGUCAACAUCCGGUGAUAUUACACCUUCCAUAGCCUGGUUGAUUCGCUCCAAACCAGUAGAUGGAAACAAGCCUAAUUAGCAUUUUCUCUCUUUUUUUUUUUGAGACAUUUUAAAAGUUUGCUCAAAAUUUGCUCUACAAGUGGAUGGAAACAUAUCUAAUGACCGUGGAGCAAACUGCAUUCUUAUCAAAGACAAAGAGGACAGCGCCGUCGUCAACGAGCCGCAUAUCCAAUCAGCUGCUCUGUAUUAUGGAAUGGAAACCGAUUGGUCAGCAUUUAGAAAAACAAAAGCUUGUUUUACAACAAUUAAGUGUGCUUAAUUUUUGUGUUUUUCUCUUAGCCAGUUGCGGAAAUACUUAAUAAUCAUGUACAUUUUCUGCUGCUACUACUACUGCAUCUGGCUAAUCCAAACAUAUUGUGAAAUGAUGAGCUUAUGAAAAUGAAGCAUGAAGUGGUCGA